This 727-nucleotide ribosomal RNA is filed under the name uncultured Ruegeria sp. RNAcentral's name for it is "bacterial SSU rRNA". It matches the Rfam family "Bacterial small subunit ribosomal RNA", at positions 31 to 817 of the family's 1533-position model. Lineage: Bacteria; Pseudomonadati; Pseudomonadota; Alphaproteobacteria; Rhodobacterales; Roseobacteraceae. The record is from RNAcentral.
GGACGCUGGCGGCGGCUAACACAUGCAAGUCGAGCGCGCCUUCGGGUGAGCGGCGGACGGGUUAGUAACGCGUGGGAACGUGCCCUUCUCUACGGAAUAGCCUCUGGAAACGGAGAGUAAUACCGUAUACGCCCUUUGGGGGAAAGAUUUAUCGGAGAAGGAUCGGCCCGCGUUAGAUUAGGUAGUUGGUGGGGUAAUGGCCUACCAAGGCGACGAUCCAUAGCUGGUUUUAGAGGAUGAUCAGCAACACUGGGACUGAGACACGGCUCAGACUCCUACGGGAGGCAGCAGUGGGGAAUCUUAGACAAUGGGGGCAACCCUGAUCUAGCCAUGCCGCGUGAGUGAUGAAGGCCUUAGGGUCGUAAAGCUCUUUCGCCUGUGAUGAUAAUGACAGUAGCAGGUAAAGAAACCCCGGCUAACUCCGUGCCAGCAGCCGCGGUAAUACGGAGGGGGUUAGCGUUGUUCGGAAUUACUGGGCGUAAAGCGCGCGUAGGCGGAUUAGAAAGUUGGGGGUGAAAUCCCGGGGCUCAACCCCGGAACUGCCUCCAAAACUGCUAGUCUAGAGUUCGAGAGAGGUGAGUGGAAUUCCGAGUGUAGAGGUGAAAUUCGUAGAUAUUCGGAGGAACACAGUGGCGAAAGCGGCUCACUGGCUCGAUACUGACGCUCAGGGCGAAAGUGUGGGAGCCACAGGAUUGAUACCUGGUGUCCCACCCUUACGAUGAAGGCC